GAUGAACGCUGGCGGCGUGCCUAACACAUGCAAGUCGAGCGAACAGACGAGGAGCUUUCUCCUCUGACGUUAGCGGCGGACGGGUGAGUAAUACGUGGAUAACCUACCUAUAAGACUGGGAUAACUACGGGAAACCGGAGCUAAUACCGGAUAAUAUAUUGAACCGCAUGGUUCAAUAGUGAAAGACGGUUUUGCUGUCACUUAUAGAUGGAUCCGCGCCGCAUUAGCUAGUUGGUAAGGUAACGGCUUACCAAGGCAACGAUGCGUAGCCGACCUGAGAGGGUGAUCGGCCACACUGGAACUGAGACACGGUCCAGACUCCUACGGGAGGCAGCAGUAGGGAAUCUUCCGCAAUGGGCGAAAGCCUGACGGAGCAACGCCGCGUGAGUGAUGAAGGUCUUCGGAUCGUAAAGCACUGUUAUUAGGGAAGAACAAAUGUGUAAGUAUCUAUGCACGUCUUGACGGUACCUAAUCAGAAAGCCACGGCUAACUACGUG
This 497-nucleotide ribosomal RNA is filed under the name uncultured bacterium. RNAcentral's name for it is "partial 16S ribosomal RNA". It matches the Rfam family "Bacterial small subunit ribosomal RNA", at positions 28 to 507 of the family's 1533-position model. The record is from RNAcentral.